RNAcentral lists this ribosomal RNA (493 nucleotides) under uncultured bacterium. Its description in RNAcentral is "partial 16S ribosomal RNA". It matches the Rfam family "Bacterial small subunit ribosomal RNA", at positions 28 to 507 of the family's 1533-position model. The record is from RNAcentral.
GACGAACGCUGGCGGCGUGCUUAACACAUGCAAGUCGAACGGUGAAGGGACCGGUUUUUGCUGGUUCUGGAUGAGUGGCGAACGGGUGAGUGACACGUGAGUAACCUGCCCCCUUCUUCUGGAUAACCGCAUGAAAGUGUGGCUAAUACGGGAUAUUCUGCGCCUGCUGCAUGGUGGGUGUGGGAAAGAUAUUGUUUCGGUGGGGGAUGGGCUCGCGGCCUAUCAGCUUGUUGGUGGGGUGAUGGCCUACCAAGGCGGUGACGGGUAGCCGGCCUGAGAGGGUGGACGGUCACACUGGGACUGAGACACGGCCCAGACUCCUACGGGAGGCAGCAGUGGGGAAUAUUGCACAAUGGGCGCAAGCCUGAUGCAGCGACGCCGCGUGAGGGAUGGAGGCCUUCGGGUUGUAAACCUCUUUCGCCAGUGAAGCAGGCCUGUCCCUUUUGUGGGUGGGUUGACGGUAGCUGGAUAAGAAGCGCCGGCUAACUACGUG